This 433-nucleotide ribosomal RNA is filed under the name uncultured bacterium. Its description in RNAcentral is "partial 16S ribosomal RNA". It matches the Rfam family "Bacterial small subunit ribosomal RNA", at positions 29 to 507 of the family's 1533-position model. The record is from RNAcentral.
AACGAACGCUGGCGGCAGGCUUAACACAUGCAAGUCGAGCGCAUCCUUCGGGGUGAGCGGCCGACGGGUGAGUAACGCGUGGGAAUCUACCUUUUGCUACGGCAUAGCUCCGGGAAACUGAAAUUAUUACGGAACGUGCCCUAAGGGGGAAAGAUUUUUCGACAAGGGUUGAGCCCGCGUGGGAUUAGCUGGUUGGUGGGGUAAUGGCCUACCAAGGCGACGAUCCAUAGCUGGUCUGAGAGGAUGAUCAGCCACAUUGGGACUGAGACACGGCCCAAACUCCUACGGGAGGCAGCAGUGGGGAAUAUUGGACAAUGGGCGCAAGCCUGAUCCAGCCAUGCCGCGUGAGUGAUGAAGGCCUUAGGGUUGUAAAGCUCUUUCACCGGAGAAGAUAAUGACGGUAUCCGGAGAAGAAGCCCCGGCUAACUUCGUG